UUGCACAGAAGUCUCAUGAUCUUGAUUUUUGCUUUCCAGAAUGGCUGAGUGACUGAGCCAAGUGCUUGAGGAAGAAAAUGGAAGCCACUUGGACUUCUUGUCUCUCCAAGGGGAGAACAUCUCUGAGCAAUUUGGGAAAAUACUACUUGUAACCAGAGAUAACUGCAAGAAGCAGUUCUAAGCUGGAAGACAGAAAGAAAGAAACACCUAGCAUCUUGCUUGGAUGUUAACAGCAGUUGAUGGCCAUGUCCUCUCUGGAAGACAGAGCAGAUCAACAAAAUGCAAUAAGCAAGAAAGCCCUUUUGGAUCCCUCACUACCUGAAGACGGCACCAGGUGUUUCUGCUGCUAAGUGUUGAAAGAGAAACACAGAGCCCUGAACUUUGAAGACUUGGCAGGUGAGGAGAAGGAAAAAUCUUUUCACUUCCCAUUUAAAUUUAAGCUUAAUCUGCAUUUGUUGCGUCUGGUAGAAAUAUUUGAGCUUUUAAUUUAAUGUUGUUGGUUUUGGGGAAACUUCUUGGGAUGCAUGGCAUGAAAACACCUUAGAUAUGUGGCAAGGUUUUGAUUUAAUUUCUACUUUCAUCUGUUUUCCAUUACAAACCAGACUAAUUGCAAUAAGAUUCUCUGUGGCAAAAAGUACUAGGGGAAGUGUGAAUUUGGAAGUUUUCUCACUUUGCAGUAACUGUAAAACCAGUCAGCAAACAGGCUUUAAAAUGAUUUCGUAUUGGAGGGAGCAAAGGCUGGUUGUCUUCAUAGUAGCAGGAUUUCACUGGCACUAUCAAGUUUUCAAAGCUCUCAAAUUCAACCUAUUCAUAUUUAUAGAAAAGUUACUUUUCACACUUAAAUUGCAUUCACUCCUGUUUUAGAGACUUAAAAUCCUAGCAUGAGCUGACAUGCCCCUGGUGUUUGAAGUGCCAAUGUUAAAACUGUGUCCACAUUUUGCUGUUAAACAGCUGACGGAUGGGUAUG
Long non-coding RNA from Strigops habroptila (Kakapo), 967 nucleotides. RefSeq lists it as uncharacterized. The record is from RefSeq and is a predicted model, not a curated record. NCBI's taxonomy places the organism in Eukaryota, Metazoa, Chordata, Aves, Psittaciformes, Psittacidae. The transcript is spliced from 2 exons.